UGUUGAUGGAGGACUUCUGGAAAUCCUCAGGAAUGGAACAGAGUCUGCAUCUGGGUCAUCAUCAGAGCCCAAGUAGUCACUUGCUACCACAACUUUUUGCUGUCAUGGAACUGAUUGAAGCCUUAGAAGAAGCUAGAAGAAUGCUCUCUAUGGCCCGAGGAAGCUGCUGGGCUGAGAGUCCAUCAUCUGCUUCAGGAGUCAUGGCUGAGGACCUACUGUCAGG
This 223-nucleotide long non-coding RNA is filed under the name Mus spicilegus (steppe mouse). Its description in RNAcentral is "lncRNA (ENSMSIG00000012573.1)". The record is from RNAcentral. Lineage: Eukaryota; Metazoa; Chordata; Mammalia; Rodentia; Muridae.